UAUGUUCUCGACUGUACUACGCCUUAUAUGCGCUUCUACUACGAUCAUGAAUAUCUCUCUACGAUGCUUCAGCGCUGUUUGUACAAUACCGGCGAUUCUUCUACGCUCUUUUUACAACUUUACCCCGAUAUUUGCUGGCUACUUCCCCGCUAGCUUGUCUGAACAUGCUCAAAAUAAGUUGUGCGAGGUCGUAGAGUUCCGGACCAUGAAGACCUUACCUCGACAUACUUCUGAAGACUCUACUACGUUUCUUCCAUUUGUCAGGAUCGGACACGUUUUCGGCAACUCUUUUAGCGUAGAAGAAACAGCAGUCAAUGUGUGAACGGGGGUAAUCAACCCUAUUUAGACGACAUCAAACGCAAAAGUAUUUUUUUAGAUUUCAAGCUUCCCCUGGCAUAUCAAAAUUUUACAAAGAAACGGAAUGAAUUUCUGCCACAAAGUAAAGCUAUUUCACUUGGAAUAUUUUAGUUAAUAAAUAAUUUAUUUUACUACGAUUUUAUAGGAAACUAAAUCCUUAUAAACACCCCCUCUAAAUCGUUCAUGAAACAAAUCAGUACUGAACAUUGAGUAUUAAGUUAGUUGCUCAAGGAAACAAUGACAUGGAUUAAACUGAAUUUUGAAAUCACGCGGCUAGCGAGUGCGACUCAUUAAAUACACGGUCAUUCCGCCACUAUUAUAGAACGUUGGAGUAACUAUUUGCAUUUGCACAACCUACUACCGCUUCUAAAUGAAUCGUCGACCUUGAUAAUGAAUUUGUUUACGUUUCUUUAAAUUGGACGUGACUUACACAAUGUGAAGGCCAAGGAAAGAUAAUAUAUUAUUGAAGAGGUCGAACAAUACGGACUCAUAAACAAGUACACCUGUUUUAAAUCAUGAAAGGCAAAAUAUAUCUGCUGUUGUGUGGAACUACAACAAUUUUUCAUCUGAUUUCGGCAUUUCUACUUGACCAACAACCAUGCGAAAAACUUCCAGAAUACCUAAGUGAGUUUCCAUUUUCAUAAUA
This is a long non-coding RNA of Ruditapes philippinarum (Manila clam), 1003 nucleotides long. RefSeq lists it as uncharacterized. The transcript has 3 exons. Lineage: Eukaryota; Metazoa; Mollusca; Bivalvia; Venerida; Veneridae. The record is from RefSeq and is a predicted model, not a curated record.